ACUCGCUGAUUGGCUGAGCAGGGCCGCGGACAGAGAGAAAUGCCGAGGAAUAGGGGCGCGGCCGCCCGGUUUCGGCGAUGGGUUAUAGGGUCCGCGUCAGCCCCGCGCCCGCACAGCCAACGUCACGCCGCAUUCUUAUUUCCAAAGACCCCUGGAGCUUGGGGUCCCACCCCAGCGGUCUUUCGGGGCGUCCCCUGCCCUUCACGCGCCGCGCCGGCUCGGCCCGAAGCGCCCUGCGGACCCGCAGCCUGGGCCGCCCCGAACCUGACGGCCCCGCGGGGGUCGGACGCGGGAGGAACGGCCUCGCUUUCAGAGACGCAGCGGGAGGGCGGUCCCCGCUGUCCCUCUGGCCGGGUCCUCAGCACGCGUUCUCCUCACUCCCAGGACUAGCGAGCGGCGGGCGCGGACCGGGGCCUGGGGUCGGAGGCGGCGCAGCCAGAAAGGCCCCAGCGGCGCUGAGACGUUUGGGGGAAGGCGGGGGCUUCGCGUUUCGAUGGCGGGAAGCGGAAUGAGGUUGGACCGGCCGGGCCGGCGUUCAGGGACCCGGCGGGAGGCGGAGGGCUGGCGUCCUCGCGGACAUCCAUCUGCAGCGAACCAGGCAGAGGCUUUGGGAUUAGAUCCUUGACUCCUUGCGUCAGUAGUUAAGCUUUGUGAUGGUCUGAGGUCCAUGAAGGGAUUAAAACCAGGAACUGGCUCCUUCUCCAACCACUAAAGCCUCAUCUGGGCCCACAAGCCCUGGCUGUUCCCUGGAGCGUGACUGGAAGAUGUGAGCAGCUUUGUGCUGGAGCCCCAUUUCCAUGGUGCAUGCUGCUGCCAAACCAGAGAUCACUUGUAGACUUGAAAGGGAACAUGAGCUUUGGGUGAAGGAUUCCCAGCCCCCAACAGAGGCCAAAAAGCUACCACCCAGCCAGGCAGAAGGAACAUAAAGUAUGCAUUUUAUGAUACGACUCAGCUUGGAGGGAUGAAGUAGAAGGUCCUCACUGCACCUCAUGGCAGGCUGCUGACGGCAGAUAUUUUACCGGGCUCACUGAACUGGGCAGUCAGGGAAGGGUCGGCUCCUGCUCUGUCCAGCUGUCUUCAUAAGGGACUCUGUGACACUUUUUAUAAAAAUGACUUUGAUUUCUGCAUAAGAAGGCUUCCCAAGCUUGCUGUCUAGCAGUGGCUGCUACAGGGAAUUAUUCACAUGGCAGCAAGAGAGCCCUGGCUCCCUGGACCAGGACAUUCCCUUUGUGUGUGUUGGAAUGAGAGCAGGAGGAGUGCUGGUCAGAAGCCCCUCCCCAGGGCUCUGGGACUUCAGUGUUCUCAGACAAACUGGGCCGCUCCUCUGAGCUGGGAUGCUGACCCACACUUGGCCCCGGCUCUGGCAUCCACAGGACGCUGCCUUAUCCGUCAUCUCGCUGGGGCUGGGGGCUAGAGGCUGAGCAGGUCACACUGAACAAAAGAAGUGUGUCCCCAUCACUAGGCUAACAUCUGAGUUUCUUCCACAGUAUUUGGUAACACAGUCAGAAACAAGACUGAAGAUGAUUCUGGAGGCAACUGGGAACCCCCCAGAACGAUUCUGCAGGCUUCUGGGAAGCUGAAAAACCCCAAGGCCAGACUGGCCUCAGAAUGCCUGAGUCCUUUUGAUUCCACUGGAAAAGCCAUCCAUCUGUGCCAAGUGUGUGGAGAGCUUCAAGAGCCAUAUAGCCCUGGCCACCAUGAGCACAGCCACGUGGGGGAGUAGUCCUGAAAGUGUCCUGGUGUGGCAAAGGCUUUCCACUAAGUGGACCUCAGAUGGCACAGGAAGACCCUCCUGGGGAUGUGGGAGGACACUGCCUAGUGGGUGAGGGGCCGCUCUUUCAGGUGUGCACACUAAAUGCAGAGACAGCCUCUCCUGGCUGCCAAGAAGCCUGUGCAUGAUCCAGGACCACAAAACACUUGCAAACUCACUGCCCAGAGGCCCUGUGCCUGUCUGGAGUGUGCCCAGUGUGUCUGCGCCCCACAGCUUGUCCUGGCCCGCCAGCAGAGCCGCAGCACUGCAGGGCCCUUCUGUUGUGAGUGCCAGGGCCCUUGCUGGCUGCCUGAGCAAGGCAAAAGGUUCAAAACAGGAAGUCUCUGGGCAGCUAUUCCCAGGUGCAGAGGGGAGCAGCGGCCACACAGGUGCCAGUGUGGCAGGAGCUGCAGUCAGAGGCAGCAUCUCAAGAGCCCUGGGAGCAGGGGCCAGCCACGUGAAGCCCACGAGUGUCGCUGGCACAGGGAAGGGACACGAGGAUCACACUGACCCAAGAGAAGGCCCACAGUGAGGAGGCCCCACCGAAGCAUCCCCAGCAACAGGGACUGAGGCAUCUGAGGCAGCCAGCCCACUCGGAAAGGCCUGCUGACUGCACUCCAGAUGUCAAGAGCACCCUUGGGAAAAAGAAAGGCAGGAGUGCAGCACUUUCUAGAGCCUCAGCUCACUUCUCUCCUUCUAGCUCCAGCCGGAGUGAUGGAAGAGGCUGCGCUGGGAGCUGCCUCCCUGGGAGCCUACCCUGCCCAGCCUGAGAGUGGAGGCUACCAGCAUCACGCUUCCCCUAGUGAAAUCCAUCUGUCCUGAAGGGAACCCUGGGACGGGGUCAAGGAAACCCUGUUCACCCCCACCACGGGGUCAGGUCUUCACCAAAGGGAGGCCGCACGGAUUCCCAGUCGCAAACCCAAAGCCUUGCUGCCUUUGCCUCUGUUUCCAUAGUUGUUUCAAUGUCUUUUUUAAAAAUCACAUACACUCGAGUAAGACUGAGUCUCCUCACCGAAGAGAUCUGGCUGUAUCCCGAGUCUCUGAAACCUUUGCUCCAGUCCCGUGGGAGCGUGCCGUCCCGAGGAUGUGGAGCCGCAAGGGCUCGCCAGAGGGAUCUCAGGAGCUAGGCCUCAAGGAGCGCUGUUGAGUGACAGGUCUGAUGCAGUAGCUUUUACUAUUGGUGGAAAUCGAUGUUUUUUCCUUGAAAGUCUACCUUUCUAAGUUCAGUAAACCAAAUUAGAUCAUGUA
RNAcentral lists this long non-coding RNA (2998 nucleotides) under Homo sapiens (human). RNAcentral describes it as "non-protein coding ATP6V0E2-AS1:16". The record is from RNAcentral. Lineage: Eukaryota; Metazoa; Chordata; Mammalia; Primates; Hominidae.